GUGAGGGUUCAAGUCCCUCUAUCCCCAA
This 28-nucleotide transfer RNA is filed under the name Halostachys belangeriana. RNAcentral describes it as "partial tRNA-Leu". The record is from RNAcentral. Lineage: Eukaryota; Viridiplantae; Streptophyta; Magnoliopsida; Caryophyllales; Amaranthaceae.